CUUUUAUAGUUGGAUUCAUCAGCACUUCCCUAAAAUGGAAAGGAGACAUCUAUUGUAAAAUUAUGAUGAAGAUAGACUUCGAGCCGCACGUUGGGUGACAGGGAAGCAAGUUUCAAACCUAUUGGAGGCCAAGAACAAUAUUUUAUCCCUAUGUAAUUCCUACUGUCAGCGAGACUGAUCGAGUCUUUCACCUCAACUUCGAUAACAUCUUCCAUAUGACAUUGUAGUUCAUCGUGGAUCACCGUUAGAAUCUGGUUUGUUGUUAUGUAACUGUUGAUAGGGGGAGCACAAUAGGAAUAAAUCUAUAAGAAUUUGUGUUGCAAUCUAAAAGAGAAAGAAGUGGUUGAUUUGCGUGGCCAUGAUAAAG
This 367-nucleotide small RNA is filed under the name Vigna angularis var. angularis. RNAcentral's name for it is "Non-protein coding transcript". The record is from RNAcentral. Lineage: Eukaryota; Viridiplantae; Streptophyta; Magnoliopsida; Fabales; Fabaceae.